Molecule: non-coding RNA, 2143 nt
Organism: Microcebus murinus (gray mouse lemur)
Lineage: Eukaryota; Metazoa; Chordata; Mammalia; Primates; Cheirogaleidae
Source: RefSeq, a predicted model, not a curated record
GCUGCUGUGCCCCUCAAGGUGAUACAGGACAUGUCCCUGCCAUUAUCUGGGACCUACCAGGGUUCCUCACUGCCUGUGGCUUGGUCGUGCAAUCUCUUUGGCCAGUGGAAGGGAGUGAGCACACCGCCUCUGAGCACAGCUGAGCAGGAGUUCACAGAGGGACCUGCGUGGCUGGUGUCAGCUCCUUGGGCUCCCGUGCACUUUGCCAGGAGGAGAUGCCCCUGGUGGGGCCACUCCUUUCACCAGGGCCCAGAGUGUAACCCAGAAGGUGGGGACCUGACAUUCCCCCUCUGCCUGAAGCCAAACGCUGCUGAGCCCAGAGGCCUCUGCACUGCCCUGGCCCUCAUGCUCCGUGAGUGAGAAAGAAGUCUCUGUCCUGAGUGGUCGAGAUGCUGGGUUUGCCUGUUUCCAGAGCAAAAGCUGACUCAGUAGGCAGGGUGAUGAUCAAGGGGGCAUUGAGCUGGCUCCAAAGCAGCCUUCCCCGGGUCAGGAAGGACUGUCGGCAUGUGGCUGGCUACACAGGGUGCACUGGUUCCCUUCCAGUUCCUGGGUGUGAGGGGCCAGGUGAUUGAUUAUACUGCCUUAUGCACUUGUCACGUGUGUUCUGUUCUUGUUCUUCACUGGCCGGCAGCAGUGAAACAUGAAAUCAAAAGUGAAAUUCCUAGACUUUAAGACAACGCCCUGCAGCAGGGGAACAAAAACACUUUGACUGUGGCUUCACGAUGAUAUUCAAGGUAAGGGCCUCCUGAUAUUUCAGGGGAAAUCCACAGGGGCUGCCUCCCCAUGAGAAGGACUCAGUCCGGUUUCCUACAAUGGGGAAGUGUGAGUGCCAGGUUUUAUUUCAAAAGUUGCAUAAAAAUUCUGUUCUUAUGCAAAAUCAGUUUCCAUGAGAGAUUAGGAGUUCGUGGUGGAGGGGCUAUGUCCUUUCUGUGUCCAGAGAGCUGUCCUGGGUCUCCUGUUGAGGAGGGGAGGCUCUGGGAGAGACGUGGGCAUCCCAGGGAGGGGUCUCUGAGUCAGGCUGGGGCCAUCAGGGCAGCCCCUCAGGCCUCGGGUGUGGGGGGAGAGACACGGAUGUGAGGGCAGCAGGGGUCAGGGAAGGAGGGGGAGGGAGGCCGGUCAGGAAGGUCCUGCAGCUCCCCGCAGGGGUGUCCUGCACCCAGAGUCCAGAGGAAGAUCACGGCCAGAGGUCCCCAUGGGAGGCCUCCGUGGUCCUGGGCUGGAUGUGGAGUGGCAGGGACAGGAUGUAGAGCCAGUCAGGGGACCGUGGGGGUCACUGAGGCAGGGACAUGGCUGCCUGACCAAGUCAGUGCCAGGAAAUGGACCAGGAAGGGACCAGGAGGAACGUUGGGAGUCUGUGCUGCUUGGCUGUGCUCACUGGGAGGACAUUGUCAGGAGGAGGGCAAAGGUCGGCUGACCCUGGUCAAUGGCUGCCCAAAGCAGGGUGGGCUGCUGGCCACACGGUGGAGCCCCCUGGAGAGGGGGUGGGUGUCAGGCACAGCAGGUGUAUUCAGGAGCUGAGCAGCUGAGGACGUGGGGACUCGGGUCCCAAAGGCCAUCUCAGCUCCUGAGGCGACUGCGGGACUGGACAGGGAAGCAGCUGUGACAAAGGACGUGCGGGGACCGCUGUGUGCAGAUCCAUGGGGUGGCGGCUGUUGGCAGGUUUCUUCGGGGGGUUAUCAAUAGGCUGAGGCCAAGCUCACACGAGGAAGAGUUCUACUGCGGCUAUGAGUGCACAGAAUGCCACAUCUACCGUGAGGAUGGUGAGCUCCACAGGAAGAGGUGUGUCUACUUUGGAAAGAAGAGAAGACAAAGAGAUGAGGACACCUCAAAUGGCAAGGGAAAUGUCAUCGAAGAUUUGCAGCUUCCAGUCUGCUCUCCGCUUCAGCCUGCGCUCUGCAACUGAGCCCGCUGGAUCUGCUGCUCCUCUAGUCAACAGAACAUGGGAAUUUGAGAUGGAUGUUAACAGAGAGGCCUGCCUAGGGCACAUGCGUCUGUGUGGGGGCACCCAUGCCUGGGGCCUUGGGGGACACCCUCCCUGUACCCCCCUGCACGUGAGCUCGUGGGUUGGAGGAACAAAUAUCUAGACGCUUAACCCUAACUCUUCAGUCACUGCUGCAUUUAAUAAACACGAGUGAGCAUUUCA